AGUGAACGCUGGCGGUAUGCCUAACACAUGCAAGUCGAACGGCAGCACAGUAAUACCUUGCCCUUACGGGUGGCGAGUGGCGGACGGGCGUGGAAUACAUCGGAAUCUACUUUUUCGUGGGGGCUAACGCAGGGAAACUUACGCUAAUACCGCAUACGACCUACUGGUGAAAGCAGGGGAUCUUCAGACUUCGCGCGAUUCUAUGAGCCUAUGUCGGAUUAGCUAGGUGGCGGGGUAAAGGCCCAGCAAGGCGACGGUCCGGAGCCGGUCUGAGAGGGUGAUGAGCCACACUUGAGCGGAGAGACGGUCCAGAGGCGAACGAGAGGCAGCAGUGACGAAUAUUGGACGAUGGGCGCGAGCAUGAUCCAGCCAUAGCGCGUGGGUGAAGAAGGACUUCGGGUUGUACAGCCCUGUUGUUGGGAAAGAAAAGCAGCAGGUUAAGACACGGCUGUUAUGGCGGUACCCAAAGAAGAAGCACCGGCUAACUUCGUG
Molecule: ribosomal RNA, 492 nt
Filed under: uncultured bacterium
Lineage: Bacteria
Description: partial 16S ribosomal RNA
Rfam family: Bacterial small subunit ribosomal RNA
Source: RNAcentral